CCUCUAUUCGACGUACUGCAGGAUUCAGUGUAUCAACUAGUCAUCUAAGUUUGAAUAGUUUUAUUAUGUGGGUGAUGAGAGCUACUUUGUAUUGUUCUCUCUUGUUUAUCUGUAAUGUGUCGUGUAAUGAUAUAAAAAUUAUAAAACAGACCGGAAUUUCUUCGCACCUUCAUCGCGACGCGAAAGAGUUGGCUUAAAUGUGUUUUAAGAGUAAUUCAAAUCCGGUUUUUAUCUCUGCGGAUCUACUAAGCAAAGAUUGGAAUCCAGGCGGUAAUUCGUGGGUUGUGAUUGACCAUAAAUUCCAGAAACAGGCUACGGGCUUUAAUUCAGCUUAUCCAACAUACGUACUCUCAUUUGAGUCUAUUGAUUACUUGAAAGCAACUAUUAACCAUUUUCGUAAAUCGACUGCAUGGAGCAUCAAGUCUCCAUUUUUGAUCGUUGAAAGAAAAUCAUCUUGUUUGAGUGCUGGAGAAGUAUUGCAAUUCAUGUGGAAGCAAGAUCUAAUGGCCGUCUAUUACCUGUGUAGUGAUCAAAAUACGACGAUUGUUUUCACGUUAAUCCAUUUGUUAAGUCCAUUUGCAACCCACGCUCCAGCACCAUGGGUUUUUUUUUCGAAUUUAACGAUAAUAGAAAGAAAUCGACCCUUUACGAUAUGGAAUACACAAAAGACAGCAAUAUUUGCAGACAAUUAACUUUCGAUAAGACUAAAAAAUUGAAUGGUCAUGAGGUGAAGUUAGCAGCUUUUAUAGAUAUCGAAAACAUCCCUCACAAAAAUUUGUCUUCUUAAAUGACUGAGUAUUUGAAGGAAAUGGAAUAAAAAGGAUCAAUGACAGUAUGCGAAACAUUAUCGCUGAUGGAAGCCAAGGACAACACAUGGUUUUUUCUUCUUCGGCUAAAAUGACAUCCUUUAAAAACGGAUAUUUCAGACAAUUAGCCGAUAAGACGAUUGCUGUGCUAGACAAAUCGUUCCAUUCGUUCCAAUCGUUAGCUGACACCAACUACAAAUACAUGGAUAUUUUAACACGGUAUGACAUAAGUACUUACUCAAUCAUAACGAAAAAAUCGAACUAUUUGACGACAAUCAGUCAAGUUGCUUGCAAUUAUCGAUUCCUGUUCCUGACAAUCAUCAUGUUAAUGUUGAUUGGGAUGAUAAUCAUAAUUAACAAUAAAUUUGACAUCAGUAGCGGUAUCUUGGAUGUAAUGAGUCUGACAGUAGGCAUGGGAGUGAUCACACCUCUAGACCGGUUGUCGAUGCGGAUUAUCUACAUUUCCGGGUUCUUGUUUGUCUUCACUGUAAUGCCUGAAUUUCAAGGUCAGGUGUCUGCUAUACUGUCGGAACCGUUGAGGCGCAACGUCGAGUCAUUAAGAGAUCUUUAUGAUAACAACUAUCAUGUUUACUACGAUGUAAUAUUAAUGAGAGACAUAGUCAAUGAAAAAUUGUGGGUGACUGAUGAGGACAUGCAGUACUUUUACCCAUCUAAUCACUCUGAGCUACACGCAUGCGUAAUC
Cotesia glomerata is the source of this 1509-nucleotide long non-coding RNA. RefSeq lists it as uncharacterized. NCBI's taxonomy places the organism in Eukaryota, Metazoa, Arthropoda, Insecta, Hymenoptera, Braconidae. The record is from RefSeq and is a predicted model, not a curated record. The transcript has 3 exons.